RNAcentral lists this ribosomal RNA (500 nucleotides) under uncultured bacterium. RNAcentral describes it as "bacterial SSU rRNA". It matches the Rfam family "Bacterial small subunit ribosomal RNA", at positions 17 to 518 of the family's 1533-position model. The record is from RNAcentral.
UCCUGGCUUAGGAUGAACGCUGGCGGCGUGCUUAACACAUGCAAGUCGAACGAAGCUCCGACUUGGAAUUCUCGGAAGGAAGAGGAGGAAGACUUAGUGGCGGACGGGUGAGUAACGCGUGGGCAACCAACCCCGUACAGGGGAACAACGGCGGGAAACUGCCGCUAAUGCCGCAUAGACCGCAGCGGCGCAUGGCGCUGCGGGGAAAGCUCCGGCGGUACGGGACGGGCCCGCGUCUGAUUAGCUAGUUGGCGGGCAACGGCUCACCAAGGCGACGAUCAGUAGCCGACCUGAGAGGGUGGCCGGCCACAUUGGGACUGAGACACGGCCCAAACUCCUACGGGAGGCAGCAGUGGGGAAUAUUGCACAAUGGGCGCAAGCCUGAUGCAGCGACGCCGCGUGGGCGAUGAAGUAUUUCGGUACGUAAAGCCCUAUCAGCAGGGAAGAACAAUGACGGUACCUGACUAAGAAGCUCCGGCUAAAUACGUGCCAGCAGCCGC